This 291-nucleotide ribosomal RNA is filed under the name uncultured bacterium. RNAcentral describes it as "partial 16S ribosomal RNA". It matches the Rfam family "Bacterial small subunit ribosomal RNA", at positions 337 to 620 of the family's 1533-position model. The record is from RNAcentral.
UCCUACGGGGGGCAGCAGUAGGGAAUCUUCCACAAUGGGCGAAAGCCUGAUGGAGCAACGCCGCGUGGGUGAAGAAGGUCUUCGGAUCGUAAAACCCUGUUGUUAGAGAAGAAAGUGCGUGAGAGUAACUGUUCACGUUUCGACGGUAUCUAACCAGGAAGCCAAGGCUAACUACGUGCCAGCAGCCGCGGUAAUACGUAGGGGGCAAGCGUUAUCCGGAUUUAUUGGGCGUAAAGGGAACGCAGGCGGUCUUUUAAGUCUGAUGUGAAGGCCUUCGGCUUAACAGGGGUA